CCCUUAGAUGUUCUGGGCUGCACGCGCGCUACACUGUUGCGUUCAACGAGUGUAUAACCUUACCCGAUAGGGUUGGGAAAUCUUCUGAACACGCAACGUGAUGGGGAUAGAUUAUUGCAAUUAUUAAUCUUCAACGAGGAAUUCCUAGUAAUGGUGAAUCAUCAGUUCAUCGUGAUUACGUCCCUGCCCUUUGUACACACCGCCCGUCGCUCCUACCGAUUGAGCAAUCCGGUGAAUAAUUCGGACCGGCUGGUUUCUUGGUUCGCCAGGUUACCAACUGGAAAGUCUAGUGAACCUUAUUGCUUAGAGGAAGGAGAAGUCGUAACA
This 327-nucleotide ribosomal RNA is filed under the name uncultured eukaryote. RNAcentral describes it as "partial 18S ribosomal RNA". It matches the Rfam family "Eukaryotic small subunit ribosomal RNA", at positions 1470 to 1796 of the family's 1831-position model. The record is from RNAcentral.